GCCCGCUUGGCGAAAUUGGUAAACGCAACGGACUUAAAAUCCGUUAGCCCACAGGCUUUGCUGGUUCGAAUCCAGCAGCGGGCA
Molecule: transfer RNA, 84 nt
Filed under: invertebrate metagenome
Description: tRNA-Leu-TAA
Rfam family: tRNA
About the family: Transfer RNA (tRNA) molecules are approximately 80 nucleotides in length. Their secondary structure includes four short double-helical elements and three loops (D, anti-codon, and T loops).
Source: RNAcentral